AUGGAAUCGGUCAACAACGUUCAAAAUCAAGAUUUCAGUGCUGCUACCUCAUUUCCAGAGAUUAAUUUCCCCAUGCUUCUCAUUGAUGAUUUCAAUACUCCAAAAAAGAAACAAUCAUUUUCUCAAGACGGUUCUUUGUAUAAGCCACAAUGUGAUGAGGAAUUGAAGCUAAAAGUAGGGAUGAUAUUUGAUGACAUUGGCUCGGUGAUGGAAUUUUACAAAACAUAUGCACACAAUGUCGGGUUUGGUGUACGUCUUGGGCAGCAAAAAGUCAUGGAUAAUGUGCUUCAGUGGAAGCGCUUCUUGUGUGCAAAAGAAGGCUUUCAGACCGAGAAAGGUAUGGUUGCUAUUGACCCUGCUAAGAAAAGGAGAAAGGUGAAAGUGACAAGAUGUGGAUGUGAAGCUUAUAUCUAUGUCACUCGUGAAAGCGAUGGAAAAUAUAGGAUCGCCUCACUCACUGAAUAUCACAAUCACCCUUUUGUGCCUCCUAGCCAACAUCAUUUGAUUAGAUCUAAUCGUCAAGUUAGUGAGAGUGUGAAGACAACACUUUAUGACUACCAAAGAGCUAGCAUCGGCACCGCUUUAGCAUAUAGGUUCCUUCAUGUUGAUGCGGGUGGUUUUGAGCAUGUUGGGUGCACAAAGAAGGACCUACAGAAUCACUAUGGUGUACUGAAAAACAAAAUUAAAAAUUGUGAUGCUCAAAUGCUAGUGGACCAAUUUGGUAGACUGAAGGUCUUGAAUCCUGCUUUUUUAUAUGAGUACGAAGUUGAUGAUGUUGGUACAUUGGUCUGUUUGUUUUGGGCAGAUGCAUCUAGUAGGAAAAAUUAUGGUCAUUUCAAUGAUGUGGUAUCUUUUGAUUCGACUUACAGCACUAACCAAUAUGAAUACAUCUUUGCACCCUUCACUUGA
Molecule: ribosomal RNA, 909 nt
Filed under: Triticum aestivum (bread wheat)
Lineage: Eukaryota; Viridiplantae; Streptophyta; Magnoliopsida; Poales; Poaceae
Description: partial small subunit ribosomal RNA
Source: RNAcentral